Solanum lycopersicum (tomato) is the source of this 698-nucleotide non-coding RNA. The record is from RefSeq and is a predicted model, not a curated record. Lineage: Eukaryota; Viridiplantae; Streptophyta; Magnoliopsida; Solanales; Solanaceae.
AGAAAAGAAAAUAAGGGUUAGAAACUACCUUGUGCGGCGACGACAGGAACCAAACUAAAUUGCUACAGUGACCACAUUGAUUUCCAGAUUGAGAAAGCUCCGAAGCUUUGCAAAAAGGGAAGGAAAAAUCUUGAGAAUUGUGGCACGUGUUCGACACUCAAGUUGUUGCACUCUUUGUGGUGCAAAUUGAAUUCCGAGUACGAUAACAUCUCGUGGAGCAUUUUGAGUCCGAGCUUAGAGUGUCUUGGAGUUAUGGUGAGCUGCUUGGUUGUUUCGUGGUCCACACCUCCCUCCAUCUUUCAUUUAUACUGUUACUUUAGUAUUCAGACGGAAUAUUCCUUAUGUUUGGAAUUGACAUUUUAGUUUCAAACUUGCAUCAUAUUUAGGAGCUCUUGUACUUAUGACACCAUUUUGAAUGGUAUUUUUAGUUUUCUGCAUUUCGUAAUUGUAAAGAACUUAGUGUUGAAGAUUUUCACUUAGUGUUUACCUUUUAAUCAUUAGUUAAUUAAAAUUGAUAAAAUAUGUUGGAUUGGCUUACCUAUUGAUUGGAUACAUAGGUGCCAUCAAGACUUGUAAAUUUGGAUCGUGACAACUACCUUUUUCAUUAGUUGAGGGUAUAAUAGGUAAAAAAUGUCCUUCUUGAUUUGUCAAAAUGGACAACUAAUUAGAGACAACUAUAAAAGAAAAAGUGUACAAUA